This 361-nucleotide ribosomal RNA is filed under the name uncultured bacterium. RNAcentral describes it as "bacterial SSU rRNA". It matches the Rfam family "Bacterial small subunit ribosomal RNA", at positions 157 to 507 of the family's 1533-position model. The record is from RNAcentral.
GGUUGGCUAAUACCGCGUACGCCUUCCGAGUCUUCGGGCUUGGAAGGAAAGCCGCACUGUGAGUGCGGCGCUCUUUGAUGGAGCUCAUGUCCUAUCAGCUUGUUGGUAGGGUAACGGCCUACCAAGGCUUUGACGGGUAGCUGGUCUGAGAGGACGAUCACGCCACACUGGCACUGCGACACGGGCCAGACUCCUACGGGAGGCAGCAGUAAGGAAUAUUGCGCAAGUGGGACGAAAGCCUGACGCAGCGACGCCGCGUGGGGGAUGAAGGUCUUCGGAUUGUAAACCCCUUUCGGGAGGGAAGAUGGAGCGAGCAAUCGUUCGGACGGUACCUCCAGAAGCAGCCACGGCCAACUUCGUG